UGGGGGAAACCCUGACCGAGCGACGCCGCGUGUGGGAUGAAGGCCCUCGGGUUGUAAACCACUGUCAACGGGGAGGAAAUGCAGAGGGGUUCUCCCCUCUGUUUGACCUAUCUGUGGAGGAAGUACGGGCUAAGUUCGUGCCAGCAGCCGCGGUAAGACGAACCGUACAAACGUUACUCGGAAUUACUGGGCUUAAAGGGUGCGUAGGCUGCGCGGAAAGUUGGGUGUGAAAGCCCUCAGCUCAACUGAGGAAUUGCACUCAAAACUACCGUGCUCGAGGGAGACAGAGGUAAGCGGAACUCAAGGUGGAGCGGUGAAAUGCGUUGAUAUCUUGAGGAACACCGGUGGCGAAGGCGGCUUACUGGUCUCUUCUGACGCUGAGGCACGAAAGCCAAGGUAGCAAACGGGAUUAGAUACCCCGGUAGUCUUGGCUGUAAACGAUGAGCACUUGAUUGAAGGGUCCUCCAUAGCCUUUCAGUCGUAGCGAAAGUGUUAAGUGCUCCGCCUGGGGA
RNAcentral lists this ribosomal RNA (512 nucleotides) under uncultured bacterium. Its description in RNAcentral is "bacterial SSU rRNA". It matches the Rfam family "Bacterial small subunit ribosomal RNA", at positions 372 to 879 of the family's 1533-position model. The record is from RNAcentral.